GUAGGGUGCAAGCGUUGUCCGGAAUUAUUGGGCGUAAAGAGCUCGUAGGCGGUCUGUCGCGUCGGACGUGAAAACCCAGGGCUCAACCCUGGGCCGGCGUUCGAUACGGGCAGACUAGAGUUCGGUAGGGGAGACUGGAAUUCCUGGUGUAGCGGUGAAAUGCGCAGAUAUCAGGAGGAACACCGGUGGCGAAGGCGGGUCUCUGGGCCGAAACUGACGCUGAGGAGCGAAAGCGUGGGGAGCGAACAGGAUUAGAUACCCUGGUAGUCCACGCCGUAAACGUUGGGCGCUAGGUGUGGGGAACCUUCCACGUUCUCCGUGCCGCAGCUAACGCAUUAAGCGCCCCGCCUGGGGAGUACGGCCGCAAGGCUAAA
RNAcentral lists this ribosomal RNA (374 nucleotides) under uncultured bacterium. RNAcentral's name for it is "bacterial SSU rRNA". It matches the Rfam family "Bacterial small subunit ribosomal RNA", at positions 527 to 898 of the family's 1533-position model. The record is from RNAcentral.